UACGGAGGGUCCAAGCGUUAUCCGGAAUCAUUGGGUUUAAAGGGUGCGCAGGCGGUAGUGUAAGUCAGUGGUGAAAUCUCUCGGCUCAACCGAGAAACUGCCAUUGAUACUGCAGUACUUGAAUACAGUUGAAGUAGGCGGAAUGUGUAGUGUAGCGGUGAAAUGCUUAGAUAUUACACAGAACACCGAUAGCGAAGGCAGCUUACUAAACUGAUAUUGACGCUCAUGCACGAAAGCGUGGGGAGCGAAC
This 250-nucleotide ribosomal RNA is filed under the name uncultured bacterium. Its description in RNAcentral is "partial 16S ribosomal RNA". It matches the Rfam family "Bacterial small subunit ribosomal RNA", at positions 524 to 773 of the family's 1533-position model. The record is from RNAcentral.